RNAcentral lists this small RNA (90 nucleotides) under Salmonella enterica. RNAcentral describes it as "partial RtT sRNA". It matches the Rfam family "RtT RNA", at positions 1 to 86 of the family's 130-position model. From Rfam's summary of the family: This family represents a bacterial cis-regulatory element known as RtT RNA. The exact function of RtT is unknown although it is thought that it may be involved in changing the cellular response in relation to amino acid starvation. Lineage: Bacteria; Pseudomonadati; Pseudomonadota; Gammaproteobacteria; Enterobacterales; Enterobacteriaceae. The record is from RNAcentral.
UGUAUCUGAAGCCUGACGAGGAUGAGAACCUCCGGGGGCAAGAGGUUCGACUCGAGCGCAGCGAGAGAACGUUGCGUCAGCAACGGCCCG